GGGGUUGGAAUGUUCAACCAUUUUUACAUUUCUAAAUCUAUCCGAUAUAUGUAGUACUGUAAAAUAAUCAUGCAAGUGAAAACCAAAUAUAAAUUUAGAAGAACAAAAUUUGCAUUCAAAAGAUGUUGCUCAAAUUUUAAAGUCAUUGACGAUUAUGUCCAAGAAGGGUGUACAACGGAAUUAAAAAUAAACUUUAUUAGUUCGUUCGUUUUCUAGUUUGAAUUGUUUUACUUAUGGACCUUUUAAAGCUGACUACGUGGUAUGUUCUUUGCUCAUUGUUGAAGACCGUCCGAUGACCUAUAAAUGGUAAUUUCUGUGUCAUUUUGGCCUCCUGUGAUGAGUUGUCUUUUGGAGAGUUGUCUCAUUGGCAAUCAUACCACAUCUCUUUUUUUAUAUUUAUGAACUAUUGCCAAAUAUUGAAGCAAAACUAAAAGAGAAAG
RNAcentral lists this long non-coding RNA (440 nucleotides) under Mytilus galloprovincialis (Mediterranean mussel). Lineage: Eukaryota; Metazoa; Mollusca; Bivalvia; Mytilida; Mytilidae. The record is from RNAcentral.